CUCGCCUUCUUCUCCCAAUCCUACAUUGACGCCAACACAUUAAAACCGGAAGACCUCGCCAAGCUACUUAAAAGUAUUGCGGCUUCCCCUCGAGAGUACGGCCGUUACCACCUAUGGAGACUUUAUUGGAAAGUAGUACAAAUGUGGCCUCACUGUGAACUAUGCUACAAGUUACACAACGACCAUAAUGUUACCAUUUACUCAAACGUGUAUAGCUGGUGGGGCGCCGUUGGGAAAUGCAGGAGAUCUACAAUUAUCUAAUUAUCUUCCUCUCUCUUCAAAAUAAAUAAUUGCCGGCAGGAAA
Molecule: long non-coding RNA, 304 nt
Organism: Penaeus monodon (black tiger shrimp)
Lineage: Eukaryota; Metazoa; Arthropoda; Malacostraca; Decapoda; Penaeidae
Exons: 2
Source: RefSeq, a predicted model, not a curated record